GGGUCGUUAGCUCAGUCGGUAGAGCAGUUGGCUUUUUAACCAAUUGGUCGUAGGUUCGAAUCCUACACGACCCACCA
This 77-nucleotide transfer RNA is filed under the name Azotobacter vinelandii. RNAcentral's name for it is "tRNA-Lys". It matches the Rfam family "tRNA". Rfam says of the family: Transfer RNA (tRNA) molecules are approximately 80 nucleotides in length. Their secondary structure includes four short double-helical elements and three loops (D, anti-codon, and T loops). Further hydrogen bonds mediate the characteristic L-shaped molecular structure. tRNAs have two regions of fundamental functional importance: the anti-codon, which is responsible for specific mRNA codon recognition, and the 3' end, to which the tRNAs corresponding amino acid is attached (by aminoacyl-tRNA synthetases). tRNAs cope with the degeneracy of the genetic code in two manners: having more than one tRNA (with a specific anti-codon) for a particular amino acid; and 'wobble' base-pairing, i.e. permitting non-standard base-pairing at the 3rd anti-codon position. Lineage: Bacteria; Pseudomonadati; Pseudomonadota; Gammaproteobacteria; Pseudomonadales; Pseudomonadaceae. RNAcentral also lists the same sequence under 1 other name. The record is from RNAcentral.